RNAcentral lists this ribosomal RNA (432 nucleotides) under uncultured Actinomycetales bacterium. Its description in RNAcentral is "bacterial SSU rRNA". It matches the Rfam family "Bacterial small subunit ribosomal RNA", at positions 28 to 440 of the family's 1533-position model. The record is from RNAcentral. Lineage: Bacteria; Bacillati; Actinomycetota; Actinomycetes; Actinomycetales.
GACGAACGCUGGCGGCGUGCUUAACACAUGCAAGUCGAGCGAUGAAGCACCUUCGGGUGUGAAUUAGCGGCGAACGGGUGAGGAACACGUGAAGAAUCUGCCUUCAACUCUGGGAUAACUCCGGGAAACCGGGGCUAAUACCGGAUAUGAGCCUUGAUCGCAUGAUCGGGGCUGGAAAGUUUUUCGGUUGAAGAUGACUUCGCGGCCUAUCAGCUUGUUGGUGAGGUAAUGGCUCACCAAGGCGACGACGGGUAGCCGGCCUGAGAGGGCGACCGGCCACACUGGGACUGAGACACGGCCCAGACUCCUACGGGAGGCAGCAGUGGGGAAUAUUGGGCAAUGGAGGGAAACUCUGACCCAGCGACGCCGCGUGAGGGAUGAAGGCCAGGGAAGAAGCGAAAGUGACGGUUCGGGUUGUAAACCUCUUUCAGU